UUGUGAACAUACCUAUAACUGUUGCUUCGGCGGGUAGGGUCUCCGCGACCCUCCCGGCCUCCCGCCUCCGGGCGGGUCGGCGCCCGCCGGAGGAUAACCAAACUCUGAUUUAACGACGUUUCUUCUGAGUGGUACAAGCAAAUAAUCAAAACUUUUAACAACGGAUCUCUUGGUUCUGGCAUCGAUGAAGAACGCAGCGAAAUGCGAUAAGUAAUGUGAAUUGCAGAAUUCAGUGAAUCAUCGAAUCUUUGAACGCACAUUGCGCCCGCCAGCAUUCUGGCGGGCAUGCCUGUUCGAGCGUCAUUUCAACCCUCAAGCUCUGCUUGGUGUUGGGGCCCUACAGCUGAUGUAGGCCCUCAAAGGUAGUGGCGGACCCUCUCGGAGCCUCCUUUGCGUAGUAACUUUACGUCUCGCACUGGGAUCCGGAGGGACUCUUGCCGUAAAACCCCCAAUUUUCCAAAGGUUGACCUCGGAUCAGGUAGGAAUACCCGCUGAACUUAAGCAUAUCAAUAAGCGGAGGA
This 521-nucleotide ribosomal RNA is filed under the name Colletotrichum gloeosporioides. RNAcentral's name for it is "eukaryotic LSU rRNA". The stretch from base 150 to 303 matches the Rfam family "5.8S ribosomal RNA". Lineage: Eukaryota; Fungi; Ascomycota; Sordariomycetes; Glomerellales; Glomerellaceae. The record is from RNAcentral.